Long non-coding RNA from Solanum dulcamara, 374 nucleotides. RefSeq lists it as uncharacterized. NCBI's taxonomy places the organism in Eukaryota, Viridiplantae, Streptophyta, Magnoliopsida, Solanales, Solanaceae. The transcript is spliced from 3 exons. The record is from RefSeq and is a predicted model, not a curated record.
AUUCCAAUGGAAAGUAGUAAGAAGAAGCAAAUGGGUUUAUCAAUAUUCGAUCUUUCUGCUCCCACCAAACAGCCAUCCAAUUCCAUGGGGCAUCUUCAGGCAGCUACUAACAGACCUCAGUUAGGAGAUCAUUGAUUUGCCGGAUUCAAGAGGCAUCUUCAGGCAACUACUGACAGACCUCAGUUUGGAGAUAGUUGAUUCGCCAGAUUUAAGAGUGAGGCAGCUCUUUCAGGAUGCGAUAGAUCCAUCUUAGUUCUUAGUCCAUCCUUUGGGACUUAGACUUUUAUUUAGUGUUAUUAUGUUAUGGUUUUAGGGAUUGCAUCCCCAUUUCCUUAGACUUGUUGGUUAGUAGAGUUUUGGCAAUGACUUUUAUG